Molecule: long non-coding RNA, 734 nt
Organism: Raphanus sativus (radish)
Lineage: Eukaryota; Viridiplantae; Streptophyta; Magnoliopsida; Brassicales; Brassicaceae
Exons: 2
Source: RefSeq, a predicted model, not a curated record
CAACUUUUUUAUUAAACAAACCUUCGUCGAAGUUGUGGAAGAAGAUAUCUGUUUCUAAAAAUCAACUUGAGAACAGAAAAAUCAAAGAAGAUAGUAAGAAGCUGUAGAAGGCAUCCUCUGUGGAAAACGUGCUAGCAAUAAUGCAACUGUAGAAUUGUCAUAGGUUAUCAGUGCUAAAAGAUAAUGGUGCAUGGCUGUGAAAGAAUCUCUAGAGUAUAUUCCUUUAGGUUAAAGCAAUGUCGCCUCUUUGUUAUAUAAAAGAGACUCAUCAAUAUGUAUUUAGAGAGCUCAAAGGUUAAUAUGAACGAAAGUAUAAGUAUCUUUUACAGAACUGUUUUUUCUCAUCUUCUACCCGUUUUUGUUUCUAGGUUUACGCAUGACAUACGAAGUUCACGAUGCAACUAAUUUAAUAUUCAACCCACAUCCACGGGAUGCGGAUUGAUCAUAAUUUAAGAGAGCUUUUGACUCGCGUUCAUCUUCAUGGAUUGAGUUUUAUCAAGCGGUGAGACGGACACUGGGCCAGACAGAGGAUGUGCUUAUGACAGACAGUUUAGUCACAUGCUCAUAGUGAAGUUGAGAUACACAUAGUCAAGGACACACUGUAUAUAGGUUUUAACAUUUGAAGAUUUUAUAUAUACAAGUAGAUAUGGUUGACUUUUAGCUUCUGAGGAAACACAGAAGGGCAAUGUUAUUCCAGAAGCUUUAUACUAAUUUGUCAAUACAUUGAAGUUUUG